AGGACUAUUAAAAAGCAAAAAAAAC
This 25-nucleotide non-coding RNA is filed under the name Cricetulus griseus (Chinese hamster). The record is from RNAcentral. Lineage: Eukaryota; Metazoa; Chordata; Mammalia; Rodentia; Cricetidae.